Molecule: non-coding RNA, 43 nt
Filed under: Callithrix jacchus (white-tufted-ear marmoset)
Lineage: Eukaryota; Metazoa; Chordata; Mammalia; Primates; Cebidae
Source: RNAcentral
GGCCGGCUGUGAGUGUUUCUUUGGCAGUGUCUUAGCUGGUUGU